This 71-nucleotide transfer RNA is filed under the name Alligator mississippiensis (American alligator). It matches the Rfam family "tRNA". From Rfam's summary of the family: Transfer RNA (tRNA) molecules are approximately 80 nucleotides in length. Their secondary structure includes four short double-helical elements and three loops (D, anti-codon, and T loops). Lineage: Eukaryota; Metazoa; Chordata; Crocodylia; Alligatoridae. The record is from Rfam by way of RNAcentral.
GCAUUGAUAGCUGAGUAGAAAAAGUUUUGUCUCCCAUAUGGGAGACCUGGGUUUGAUUCCCAGUCAAGGUG